RNAcentral lists this unclassified non-coding RNA (395 nucleotides) under soil metagenome. Its description in RNAcentral is "partial contains 5.8S ribosomal RNA, internal transcribed spacer 2, and large subunit ribosomal RNA". The stretch from base 1 to 122 matches the Rfam family "5.8S ribosomal RNA", at positions 35 to 154 of the family's 154-position model. The record is from RNAcentral.
GAUGAAGAACGCAGCGAAAUGCGAUACUUGGUGUGAAUUGCAGAAUCCCGUGAACCAUCGAGUCUUUGAACGCAAGUUGCGCCCGAAGCCAUCAGGUUGAGGGCACGUCUGCCUGGGCGUCACAUAUCGUUGCCCAAUGCCUAUUGCAGUGCAAUAGGAAUUUCUAGGGCGAAUGAUGGCUUCCCGUGAGCGUUGUUGCCUCGCGGUUGGUUGAAAAUCGAGUCCUUGGUAGGGUGUGCCAUGGUAGAUGGUGGUCGAGUUAGAACGAUACCGAUCAUGUGCAUGCUCCCCAAAAUAUGGCCUCUAUGACCCACACGCGUCUUUUGACACUCAUGACGAGACCUCAGGUCAGGCGGGGCUACCCGCUGAAUUUAAGCAUAUCAAUAAGCGGAGGA